RNAcentral lists this non-coding RNA (29 nucleotides) under Rattus norvegicus (Norway rat). Lineage: Eukaryota; Metazoa; Chordata; Mammalia; Rodentia; Muridae. The record is from RNAcentral.
UUCUAAGAUGGAGAAUCAGGGUAGCUGGU